GCCGGGUACUCAAGAUGGGGAGGUGAAAGGGUUAUUAAUGGCCUGAGAGGCGAGAGGAUGCGGUCAAUGAUCUUUACUGGCCCCACAUUUUACCAGAGGCUGACCCAUAUGGCCGAAGACAAAGUGAAGUUCAGAAACACGGGUCCCGUUCACCCCCUUACGAGGCAGCCGGUAGCUGACAGAAAGAGAUUUGGUGGGGUUAAGUUUGGGGAGAUGGAAAGGGAUUGCCUGCUUGCACAUGGAGCAGCAGCCAACCUGCAGG
This 262-nucleotide unclassified non-coding RNA is filed under the name Hevea brasiliensis (rubber tree). The record is from RNAcentral. Lineage: Eukaryota; Viridiplantae; Streptophyta; Magnoliopsida; Malpighiales; Euphorbiaceae.